UAAAUUUCAAAGGUGUGGCUAGAUUUUACACUGAUUUGCAGAAUUGUGGCCGAACUUCAAAAAUAGCAAAAACGUGGCCGGAGUUUCACUCCGCGUUUUGAAAUUGUGGCCCCCGUUAAGUCUACCCUAACGGAGUUAACGGAGGGAGGGUAUUUCAGGGUUUUUUUAAUUUGUAACGGUCAAAUCUGUGUGUAUAUAUAAUCUGUGUGUAUAUACAACGGCUGUGUUUCAUUUUAACCCUAGAUAAUCUCCUCCUCUUUCUUGUGCAAGCCCUAAUCCCGAAUAAUCUCCUUCUCUUUCUUGUGUAAGCCAUGAGUUUUUGCUAUUGUGGGAAAUUGACAGCUGAUAGAGUCGUGUGGACUGACGCCAAUGCUGGGCGGAGAUUCAAGAACUGUGCGGAUGGUAGCAGUGGUUGCAGGUUUUUCCAAUGGGUUGACGGACCCCUUUGCAGUCGAGCACAAAUAGUAAUUCCAG
Molecule: long non-coding RNA, 474 nt
Filed under: Daucus carota (carrot)
Lineage: Eukaryota; Viridiplantae; Streptophyta; Magnoliopsida; Apiales; Apiaceae
Description: long non-coding RNA (DCAR_LNC006106)
Source: RNAcentral